Molecule: ribosomal RNA, 405 nt
Filed under: uncultured bacterium
Lineage: Bacteria
Description: partial 16S ribosomal RNA
Rfam family: Bacterial small subunit ribosomal RNA
Source: RNAcentral
GAUGAACGCUGACAGCAUGCUUAACACAUGCAAGUCAACUUGUGGCUGACGGGUGAGUAACGCGUAAAGAACUUGCCUCACAGAUAGGGACAACAUUUCGAAACGAAUGCUAAUGCCUGAUACUGUGGGAGAGCUUUGCGUCCCCUCAGCUAGUUGGAGAGGUAGCGGCUCACCAAGGCGAUGUUGUGUAGCCGGCCUGAGAGGGUGAUCGGCCACAAGGGGACUGGGACACGGCCCGUACUGCUACGGGAGGCAUGGGUGGGGAAUAUUGGAAGAUGGACCAAAGUCUGAUGCAGCAUUUCUGAGUGCAAGAUUAAGUUUUCGGAAUGUAAAGGGCUUUCAGUUAGGAAGCGGUACCAACAGAAGAAGUGACGGCUAACUACGUGCCAGCAGCCGCGGUAAUUC